UUUUGAUCUUAAUCCCAAUUUAUUUGUCCCCUUAAUGAUCAAUGUGUAACAUGAAGCUCCAAAACUGUUAAUUUCAUCGACGAAAAUCCUCGGUCUUGUUCCAAGUUUCCUCUUCUUGAAAAUGUCACUGAAUGCCUCCCCUGUUACUUCAUGCACUUAAUUAAUGGUCUCAUUAAACAUUGACUCAGAACAAUGAGGUAAAACACAGUGAUCUUGGGCAGUAUAUAUUGCUGCUUCAGAGAUUUAGGGCAAGAGAUCCAUACCAUGGAAGCUUAAAAGUGUCUUUCCACCAUCCUUGUUUUGAACAGUUGCAACAAACUUUAUCCAGUCUUGUGAUGAUCUCAGAAAAGGUUGGUCUGACAACAGGUUCUGAAUGCCAACAUUCAUCAAUCAACCU
RNAcentral lists this long non-coding RNA (397 nucleotides) under Populus tremula. RNAcentral's name for it is "long non-coding RNA (PTRE_LNC003273)". The record is from RNAcentral. Lineage: Eukaryota; Viridiplantae; Streptophyta; Magnoliopsida; Malpighiales; Salicaceae.